Molecule: non-coding RNA, 265 nt
Organism: Pelobates cultripes (western spadefoot toad)
Lineage: Eukaryota; Metazoa; Chordata; Amphibia; Anura; Pelobatidae
Source: the annotation of a GenBank genome assembly
GUUUACCUAUUGUCGCUGUCUGGAAGUUCUCUGAUCACUUCCGGUUUCUUCCCAUGUGGUUUCCAAGAAACUGUCUGGCAAUUCAGCAGGCCCUCAGACCUCGGACUACCGCCCCCAGCCUCAACAGUGUGAACGCGGUUGGUCUCAGUUAUACUAAACUCCCGGGGGGACUUGAACUUCCGGUCAGCUGACAGCAUCCGGCAACAGUGAGUACAGGGAACGUGUCAAACUACCGAACGGGGGUCGCGCUCACACGAACACCAAA